GGAAUCCGGGAGGACCAUCUCCCAAGGCUAAAUACUCCCUAGUGACCGAUAGUGAACCAGUACCGUGAGGGAAAGGUGAAAAGCACCCCGGAAGGGGAGUGAAACAGUUCCUGAAACCGUGUGCCUACAAGUAGUUAGAGCCCGUUAAUGGGUGAUAGCGUGCCUUUUGUAGAAUGAACCGGCGAGUUACGAUUUGUUGCAAGGUUAAGCGGAAAAAGCGGAGCCGUAGCGAAAGCGAGUCUGAAUAGGGCGCAUAAGUAACAGGUCGUAGACCCGAAACCAGGUGAUCUACCCAUGUCCAGGAUGAAGGUAAGGUAAUACUUACUGGAGGUCCGAACCCACGCACGUUGAAAAGUGCGGGGAUGAGGUGUGGGUAGCGGAGAAAUUCCAAUCGAACUUGGAGAUAGCUGGUUCUCUCCGAAAUAGCUUUAGGGCUAGCCUCGAGGUAAAGAGUCAUGGAGGUAGAGCACUGUUUGGACUAGGGGCCCUUCUCGGGUUACCGAAUUCAGAUAAACUCCGAAUGCCAUGUACUUAUACUCGGGAGUCAGACUGCGAGUGAUAAGAUCCGUAGUCGAAAGGGAAACAGCCCAGACCACCAGUUAAGGUCCCCAAAUAUAUGUUAAGUGGAAAAGGAUGUGGGGUUGCUUAGACAACCAGGAUGUUGGCUUAGAAGCAGCCACCAUUGAAAGAGUGCGUAAUAGCUCACUGGUCGAGUGACCCCGCGCCGAAAAUGUACCGGGGCUAAACAUAUUACCGAAACUGUGGAUGAACCUCUUUAGAGGUUCGUGGUAGGAGAGCGUUCUAAGGGCGGUGAAGUCAGACCGGAAGGACUGGUGGAGCGCUUAGAAGUGAGAAUGCCGGUAUGAGUAGCGAAAGAAGGGUGAGAAUCCCUUCCACCGAAUAUCUAAGGUUUCCUGAGGAAGGCUCGUCCGCUCAGGGUUAGUCGGGACCUAAGCCGAGGCCGAUAGGCGUAGGCGAUGGACAACAGGUAGAGAUUCCUGUACCAGUGCUAAUUGUUUAACCGAUGGGGUGACACAGAAGGAUAGGGAAUCGCACGAAUGGAAAUGUGCGUCCAAGCAGUGAGUGUGAGAAGUAGGCAAAUCCGCUUCUCGCGAAGCAUGAGCUGUGAUGGGGAAGGAAAUUAAGUACGGAAGUUCCUGAUUUCACGCUGUCAAGAAAAGCCUCUAGGAAGAGUAGUACUGCCCGUACCGCAAACCGACACAGGUAGAUGAGGAGAGAAUCCUAAGGUGAGCGAGAGAACUCUCGUUAAGGAACUCGGCAAAAUGACCCCGUAACUUCGGGAGAAGGGGUGCUCUAUUAGGGUGCAAGCCCGAGAGAGCCGCAGUGAAUAGGCCCAGGCGACUGUUUAGCAAAAACACAGGUCUCUGCAAAACCGUAAGGUGACGUAUAGGGGCUGACGCCUGCCCGGUGCUGGAAGGUUAAGAGGAGUGCUUAGCUUCGGCGAAGGUACGAAUUGAAGCCCCAGUAAACGGCGGCCGUAACUAUAACGGUCCUAAGGUAGCGAAAUUCCUUGUCGGGUAAGUUCCGACCCGCACGAAAGGCGCAACGAUCUGGGCACUGUCUCAACGAGAGACUCGGUGAAAUUAUAGUACCUGUGAAGAUGCAGGUUACCCGCGACAGGACGGAAAGACCCCGUGGAGCUUUACUGCAACCUGAUAUGGAAUGUUUGUACCGCUUGUACAGGAUAGGUAGGAGCCGAAGAGACGUGUGCGCUAGCAUACGAGGAGGCAAUGGUGGGAUACUACCCUGGCUGUAUGACCAUUCUAACCCGCCACGCUUAGCGCGUGGGGAGACAGUGUCAGGUGGGCAGUUUGACUGGGGCGGUCGCCUCCUAAAGAGUAACGGAGGCGCCCAAAGGUUCCCUCAGAAUGGAUGGAAAUCAUUCGCAGAGUGUAAAGGCACAAGGGAGCUUGACUGCGAGACUGACAAGUCGAGCAGGGACGAAAGUCGGGCUUAGUGAUCCGGUGGUUCCGCAUGGAAGGGCCAUCGCUCAACGGAUAAAAGCUACCCCGGGGAUAACAGG
This 2044-nucleotide ribosomal RNA is filed under the name Listeria monocytogenes. Its description in RNAcentral is "bacterial LSU rRNA". It matches the Rfam family "Bacterial large subunit ribosomal RNA", at positions 439 to 2481 of the family's 2925-position model. Lineage: Bacteria; Bacillati; Bacillota; Bacilli; Caryophanales; Listeriaceae. The record is from RNAcentral.